CAAGUCGAGCGAUGAAGCUUCUUCGGGAGCGGAUUAGCGGCGGACGGGUGAGUAACACGUGGGUAACCUGCCUCAUAGAGGGGAAUAGCCUUCCGAAAGGAAGAUUAAUACCGCAUAAGAUUGUAGUUUCGCAUGAAACAGCAAUUAAAGGAGUAAUCCGCUAUGAGAUGGAUCCGCGUCGCAUUAGCUAGUUGGUGAGGUAACGGCUCACCAAGGCGACGAUGCGUAGCCGACCUGAGAGGGUGAUCGGCCACAUUGGGACUGAGACACGGCCCAGACUCCUACGGGAGGCAGCAGUGGGGAAUAUUGCACAAUGGGGGAAACCCUGAUGCAGCAACGCCGCGUGAGUGAUGACGGUCUUCGGAUUGUAAAACUCUGUCUUCAGGGACGAUAAUGACGGUACCUGAGGAGGAAGCCACGGCUAACUACGUGCCAGCAGCCGCGGU
This 446-nucleotide ribosomal RNA is filed under the name uncultured bacterium. RNAcentral's name for it is "bacterial SSU rRNA". It matches the Rfam family "Bacterial small subunit ribosomal RNA", at positions 58 to 521 of the family's 1533-position model. The record is from RNAcentral.